GAUGAACGCUAGCGGGAGGCUUAACACAUGCAAGUCGUGGGGCAGCACAGGUAGCAAUACUGGGUGGCGACCGGCGCACGGGUGAGUAACGCGUAUGUAACCUACCCUGUACAGGGGGAUAGCCCGGAGAAAUUCGGAUUAAUACCCCAUAAUGAUAUUAAGUGGCAUCAUUUGAUAUUUAAAGUUUCGGCGGUACAGGAUGGGCAUGCGUAACAUUAGCUAGUUGGUAGGGUAACGGCCUACCAAGGCUACGAUGUUUAGGGGUCCUGAGAGGGUGAUCCCCCACACUGGUACUGAGACACGGACCAGACUCCUACGGGAGGCUG
Molecule: ribosomal RNA, 326 nt
Filed under: uncultured Bacteroidota bacterium
Lineage: Bacteria; Pseudomonadati; Bacteroidota
Description: bacterial SSU rRNA
Rfam family: Bacterial small subunit ribosomal RNA
Source: RNAcentral